Molecule: ribosomal RNA, 374 nt
Filed under: uncultured Alphaproteobacteria bacterium
Lineage: Bacteria; Pseudomonadati; Pseudomonadota; Alphaproteobacteria
Description: bacterial SSU rRNA
Rfam family: Bacterial small subunit ribosomal RNA
Source: RNAcentral
UAAUACGAAGGGGGCGAGCGUUGUUCGGAAUAACUGGGCGUAAAGGGCGCGUAGGCGGUCUAUCCAGUUGGGCGUGAAAGCCCUGGGCUCAACCCAGGAAUUGCGUCCAAUACUAAUAGACUAGAGACCGAGAGAGGAUAGUGGAAUUUCCAGUGUAGAGGUGAAAUUCGUAGAUAUUGGAAAGAACACCAGUGGCGAAAGCGACUAUCUGGCUCGGUUCUGACGCUGAGGCGCGAAAGCGUGGGGAGCAAACAGGAUUAGAUACCCUGGUAGUCCACGCCGUAAACGAUGUCUGCUAGGUGUCGGGAGGUUACCUCUCGGUGCCGCCGCUAACGCAUUAAGCAGACCGCCUGGGAAGUACGGCCGCAAGGCUA